RNAcentral lists this long non-coding RNA (332 nucleotides) under Elaeis guineensis (African oil palm). RNAcentral's name for it is "long non-coding RNA (EGUI_LNC049336)". The record is from RNAcentral. Lineage: Eukaryota; Viridiplantae; Streptophyta; Magnoliopsida; Arecales; Arecaceae.
GAUUUUAUAUACAAAAUAGAGUACUAAAAUAAAUAAAUAAUUAGAAAGAUCUUGCCUGAAUCGAGGCGUGUGAAAUACUAUCCUAAAAAUAUGAUUCGCCCCCUACAUGUGGAUCUUUGAUGAUUUCAUUCCUAAGAUAUAACGACCUGGCUCAGUCCAAUCCUCUUCUAAUGAGCAUGACUGUUGGAAAGUCUGACUCAAGAGAUUUCCUUCAUAUGCCUAAAUAGAAGAAAGAGAAGAAAAAAGGAAAAAAAUAGUCUCUGUCUUAGAAAGAAAUAGACAAAAAUAGAACAUAAGAAGAGAUUGAGAGUUUUUAUUAUUUUCAAACAGCC